UGAUAAUUUUAAUAGCCGCGGUAUAUUGACCGUGCAAAGGUAGCAUAAUAAUUAGUCUUUUAAUUGAGGUCUAGAAUGAAUGGUUAGACGAAAAAUUAACUUUAUUUUUUUUAUUAAGUUGAAUUUUAAGUUUCAGUAAAAAUUCUGAAAUUAAUAAGAGGGACGAUAAGACCCUAUAGACCUUAAUUAUAUAAAUUAUUUUAUUUGUUUUGUUUAUUUUUUUUAAUAUGAUUUUUAUUUUUUAGUUGGGGUGACUACUAAAAAUUUAAACUUUAGUUUUUUAUUACAAUUUAUUUGGUUAAUUGAUCUUUUUUUUUGAUUAAAAGAUAAAGGUACCUUAGGGAUAACAGCGUAAUAUUUCUGGAUAGUUCAUAUUGAUAGGAGUGUUUGCGACCUCGAUGUUGGAUUAAAAUUUAAUUAUGGGGUAGGUUUCAUAAAUAUUAGGUCUGUUC
RNAcentral lists this ribosomal RNA (452 nucleotides) under Acanalonia bivittata. RNAcentral's name for it is "partial 16S ribosomal RNA". Lineage: Eukaryota; Metazoa; Arthropoda; Insecta; Hemiptera; Acanaloniidae. The record is from RNAcentral.